Molecule: ribosomal RNA, 253 nt
Filed under: uncultured bacterium
Lineage: Bacteria
Description: partial 16S ribosomal RNA
Rfam family: Bacterial small subunit ribosomal RNA
Source: RNAcentral
UACGUAGGGUGCGAGCGUUAAUCGGAAUUACUGGGCGUAAAGCGUAUGCAGGCGGAUCGUUAAGUCGGGGGUGAAAUCCCGAGGCUCAACCUCGGAACUGCCUUCGAUACUGGCGAUCUUGAGUCCGGGAGAGGUGAGUGGAACUCCGAGUGUAGAGGUGAAAUUCGUAGAUAUUCGCAAGAACACCAGUGGCGAAGGCGGCUCACUGGCCCGGUACUGACGCUGAGGUGCGAAAGCGUGGGGAGCAAACAGG